This 928-nucleotide ribosomal RNA is filed under the name Quinqueserialis quinqueserialis. RNAcentral's name for it is "partial large subunit ribosomal RNA". It matches the Rfam family "Eukaryotic large subunit ribosomal RNA", at positions 405 to 937 of the family's 3401-position model. Lineage: Eukaryota; Metazoa; Platyhelminthes; Trematoda; Plagiorchiida; Notocotylidae. The record is from RNAcentral.
CCGCUCAGAGGUAAACGGGUGGAGUUGAACUGCGAACCCUGAGAAUUCAACUGGUGAGUGUGGUAUGAGCUUGGCAUGAAGGUUGGCUCUGCGGGUCUGCUUAGCUGCAGGUCUUCGCCUUUUGGUGGAGAUGCGCGAUACACUUGUCAAGUGGUGCGCGCUCGUUGAGUUUCUCGGACAUACUUGCCAGUGCACUUUCUCGGGGUGUUCACCACGACCGGCGCCGCUACUUGUCCAAUAUGGUUAAACCGGUCUUGCUUGGUCCCUGUGGCUUUGCUUGAUCGGGAUGGCAGGUAACUCGUUGACUUGUGUGUUGACCUCGGUUGGCAUGCGCUUGGUUUUCGAGUGUAAUCAGCUGACUGUAUUGGUGCUAUGUGGUGCGUCGGAGACGGCGGCUUGUGGUGUGUGCCUGCGUGCCUAUUUGCUGACGGAACCGGGUUUGGUUAUUAUGUUGCCUGUUUUGCAGGCCUGGUGAUGGCUCGGUUUCGCUUGGUGGAUGGGAGCGUGGGUGACACUUAUCAGGGCCUAUAGUCUGUGGUGUUGUGGUAGACUAUCCACCUGACCCGUCUUGAAACACGGACCAAGGAGAGUAACAUGUGCGCGAGUCAUGGGGUGUUACGAAACCCAAAGGCGAAGUGAAAGUAAAGACUUGACUUGUUCGAGUUGAGGUGAGAUCCUGUCGUUUCUCAUGCGCGGUACUUCCAAGCAUUCGAGCGAUGGGCGCAUCACCGGCCCGUCCCAUGGUGUGGUCACUGUCUUCGGAUUGGUGCGUCACCGGGGCGGAGCAUGAGCGCACAUGUUGAGACCCGAAAGAUGGUGAACUAUGCUUGCGCAGGUUGAAGCCAGAGGAAACUCUGGUGGAGGACCGUAGCGAUUCUGACGUGCAAAUCGAUCGUCAAACGUGAGUAUAGGGGCGAAAGACUAAUCG